AAGACUAUACUUUCAGGGAUCAUUUCUAUAGUUCGUUACUAGAGAAGUUUCUCUGAAUGUGUAGAACAUCAGAAACCAUGAGAAGGAGGCACAGUGUUGUCUCCCGAGCGUGAAGCCAGGUCCUGGUGUUGCUUCGCUGCAACUGCCAUUUGCCAUUGAUUAUGGUUUUUCUCUUCCUUUGGGAAAGUAAGAGGGAAAGGAUGCAGUCUGAGUGGU
Small nucleolar RNA from Papio anubis (olive baboon), 216 nucleotides. Its record names the gene U3. It matches the Rfam family "Small nucleolar RNA U3". Rfam says of the family: Small nucleolar RNAs (snoRNAs) are involved in the processing and modification of rRNA in the nucleolus. There are two main classes of snoRNAs: the box C/D class, and the box H/ACA class. The record is from Ensembl. Lineage: Eukaryota; Metazoa; Chordata; Mammalia; Primates; Cercopithecidae.